Molecule: ribosomal RNA, 424 nt
Filed under: uncultured bacterium
Lineage: Bacteria
Description: bacterial SSU rRNA
Rfam family: Bacterial small subunit ribosomal RNA
Source: RNAcentral
UGGGGAAUAUUGGACAAUGGGGGAAACCCUGAUCCAGCAAUGCCGCGUGAGUGAGGAAGGCCUUAGGGUUGUAAAGCUCUUUCGCCCGCGACGAUGAUGACGGUAGCGGGAGAAGAAGCCCCGGCUAACUUCGUGCCAGCAGCCGCGGUAAUACGAAGGGGGCGAGCGUUGUUCGGAUUUACUGGGCGUAAAGGGCGCGUAGGCGGCCAUUUUUGUCGAGUGUGAAAGCCCCGGGCUCAACCUGGGAACUGCGCUCGAAACGGGAUGGCUAGAGAUCGGGAGAGGAGCGUGGAAUUCCCAGUGUAGAGGUGAAAUUCGUAGAUAUUGGGAAGAACACCGGUGGCGAAGGCGGCGCUCUGGACCGAUACUGACGCUGAGGCGCGAAAGCGUGGGGAGCAAACAGGAUUAGAUACCCCCGUAGUCC